AAUGGAGUUACUUAGUUCGAUUCAGAAAUCAGUCUGUCUUCGAAAGUGCUUACAUCGAAAUGUUGCUGAUUAAAUUGUUAUUAAAUUUUGCAUUAAUUGCAUUUGUAUUUUGUUUACCAUCAGCAUCAGUUGGUGACAAUAAUUUGGAAAUUACAACUGAUAUUCAAGAGUCUAGAGAAAAUAACUAUGCAUACACAAUAUAUGGACAACGCUUUCCAAUAAGACAAAAACGUCAGAGUAAUUGUCCUUUGAAGCCAGUUUUGAUAGGAAAACAAUAUAUCUAUGUUCCAAAAUGUUAAAAUGGAACUUUCAAUAAAGAUAUAUGAGUGCAUGACUCAAGUUUGACCAUUAAAAAGUUUUAAUAAAAAUUACAAUUGAAAAAAAAUUAA
Long non-coding RNA from Eupeodes corollae, 389 nucleotides. RefSeq lists it as uncharacterized. The record is from RefSeq and is a predicted model, not a curated record. Lineage: Eukaryota; Metazoa; Arthropoda; Insecta; Diptera; Syrphidae. The transcript has 2 exons.